UACAGAGGGUGCAAGCGUUAAUCGGAAUUACUGGGCGUAAAGCGUGCGUAGACGGUUAUGUAAGUCAGAUGUGAAAGCCCCGGGCUCAACCUGGGAAUUGCAUUUGAGACUGCAUAGCUAGGGUGCGGAAGAGGGAAGCGGAAUUUCCGGUGUAGCGGUGAAAUGCGUAGAUAUCAGGAGGAACACCGAUGGCGAAGGCAGGUCUCUGGGCCGAUACUGACGCUGAGGAGCGAAAGCGUGGGGAGCGAACAGG
This 253-nucleotide ribosomal RNA is filed under the name uncultured bacterium. Its description in RNAcentral is "partial 16S ribosomal RNA". It matches the Rfam family "Bacterial small subunit ribosomal RNA", at positions 524 to 776 of the family's 1533-position model. The record is from RNAcentral.